RNAcentral lists this non-coding RNA (86 nucleotides) under Xylophilus sp. Leaf220. Its description in RNAcentral is "Burkholderia RNA 7 (anti-hemB)". It matches the Rfam family "Burkholderia RNA 7 (anti-hemB)". From Rfam's summary of the family: This RNA motif was identified by computational search in b-proteobacteria Burkholderia. The record is from Rfam by way of RNAcentral. Lineage: Bacteria; Pseudomonadati; Pseudomonadota; Betaproteobacteria; Burkholderiales.
UCCCCCGCUUUUCCUCCCUGAGCGGGUACUUCGCGCCUGCGGGCCCGAGGUUUACCCAACCCGGCCAUGUGCCGGGUUUUUUUUGU